GACGAACGCUGGCGGCGUGCUUAACACAUGCAAGUCGAACGGAAAGGCCCUGCUUUUGUGGGGUGCUCGAGUGGCGAACGGGUGAGUAACACGUGAGUAACCUGCCCUUGACUUUGGGAUAACUUCAGGAAACUGGGGCUAAUACCGGAUAGGAGCUCCUGCUGCAUGGUGGGGGUUGGAAAGUUUCGGCGGUUGGGGAUGGACUCGCGGCUUAUCAGCUUGUUGGUGGGGUAGUGGCUUACCAAGGCUUUGACGGGUAGCCGGCCUGAGAGGGUGACCGGCAAAAUUGGACCGGGGAUCGGGCCAGGCUUCUACGGGGGGGAAGAGGGGGGGAAAAUGGAACAAGGGCGGGAGGCUGGAUGAAGAACGCCGGGGGCGGGGAUAAGGGCUUCGGGGUUGAAACCGCUUUCGCCUGUGACGAAGCGUGAGUGACGGUAAUGGGUAAAGAAGCACCGGCUAACUACGUG
RNAcentral lists this ribosomal RNA (467 nucleotides) under uncultured bacterium. RNAcentral's name for it is "partial 16S ribosomal RNA". It matches the Rfam family "Bacterial small subunit ribosomal RNA", at positions 28 to 507 of the family's 1533-position model. The record is from RNAcentral.